UACGAAGGGGGCUAGCGUUGCUCGGAAUCACUGGGCGUAAAGCGUGCGCAGGCGGUUUUGUAAGCCAGAUGUGAAAUCCCCGGGCUUAACCUGGGAAUGGCAUUUGGGACUGCAAGGCUCGAGUGCGGCAGAGGAGACUGGAAUUCCUGGUGUAGCAGUGAAAUGCGUAGAUAUCAGGAGGAACACCGAUGGCAAAGGCAGGUCUCUGGGCUGACACUGACGCUCAUGCACGAAAGCGUGGGGAGCAAACAGG
This 253-nucleotide ribosomal RNA is filed under the name uncultured bacterium. RNAcentral's name for it is "partial 16S ribosomal RNA". It matches the Rfam family "Bacterial small subunit ribosomal RNA", at positions 524 to 776 of the family's 1533-position model. The record is from RNAcentral.